CUGACACAAUAAAUAAGCCACCUCUAUUACCAGCCAGCCCUGUACCCGCCGAGGGAGGGAGCGAGGGAGGAAGGGAGGGCAGCGGCAUCGCACAUUCCUCCCUGAGAACAGGAGGGAGAAGCAGCGCAGCCUCCGCAAUCAGCAGCAGAAGCCUGAGCUGCGGCGCGGACCGUCUCCAGCUCUGCCCGCUCCUCCCCACCGCCGGAUCCCUGCAUCGGAAUGAGCGCCUGAAGCCCGGUGCCAGGGAGGACAAGUUGCAGCAAUCCUGGGGGCACCCCGAGCCGAGAGGAAGGGGCAUCUGGGGGGAUGGCCAGGAAUUAUUGACCGGGAUCUUUGAUGGCUCCUAUCUAUUGCCAACUCUGAGGAACAGAAAGCUGAUUCAUGGAUGGUCGGGGGCUUCCUGGGGCAGAGCAUGAAGCCUGAGACUUUGCUGUGAGCUCCUUCAUGCGUGGCGGUGCUGCUGGGGAUCCACUCUGUCACUUUGUGGGGAUUCGCUGACUUGGGGAGCGACAUGCAGCUGCUGAAGGCUCUAUGGGCACUAGCAGGGGCGGCCAUCUGCUGUUUACUUCUCUUUCUUAUCCACUCUCAGUUCCUUAAAGAAGGUCAACUGGCUGCAGGUACGUGUGAGGUUGUUACAUACGACAGAGAUAGCAGUCAGCCCCGAAGGACCAUAGCCCGACAAACUGCUCGCUGUGCAUGUAGAAAAGGACAGAUUGCCGGCACAACAAGAGCAAGGCCAGCCUGCGUAGAUGCACGUAUUAUCCGAACGAAACAGUGGUGUGAAAUGCUUCCAUGUUUAGAAGGGGAAGGCUGCGAUUUAUUAAUCAAUAAGUCAGGUUGGACCUGCACGCAACCAGGUGGGCGAAUAAAGACAACUACGGGGUUUUCCGCGACCCAGCAGGACCCAUCAACCCAUCUUAAUUAAUCCUAACUUGACUGCAGAAGAAGGUUUCCAAUAUAUUUACCAUCCCGAAUUUGCAACCACUCUUCAACCUGGUCAUGUGGUCUCCUGACAAAUGCAACAACCAUACUCUGAAAAAGGAGUUCAGGCUUGUGAGAGCUAUGUACUUUAAACAAAUUCUCUGCUGUGGAUCCUCAUCUUGUAUGUCAUCAACUCUGUCUGUUCCCCGGUAUCUCAUAAAAGACGGCAUAAUUCUCUACGUUAUGAGCAAAACUCUGUCCUUCCAUGUAAAGGAUCACUGGCAACAAGAAAACUGUAUGUUGAUAUGAGAUAUGCUUGGGCAUUAGCAAUACAGUUAACAUUUCAUCUAUGAUGUGUACACCACUGCUAGACUUGAUGAUAUCAACUUCUCUGAAACUGAAUAUUCUACCAUUUUGAAGAGUAUUCUUCCCCUUAUCAGCCUUAGAAAGAAGACUGUUUUAUCUACAAGAGGACUAAAAAUAAAAGAGUGACUCCUUGUGCCCUGGACUGUCUGAAUUGCUUUUAUUUUCUUAUAUGUUGGAUAUAAAUACAAUAGACCAAAGAGUAAAGCCUAUGUUCAAAAGGACACGGACCUAAUAUCGAGCAUAUUGGGGUUAAAUGUAAAGGUUAAACAUGAAUGCUUCUUAUGAUUUAUCAAAAGGACAUGUUUUGAGCCUUUUCAACUUGGGAGUUUUACUAUGUAGUGGACAUCAGUAUGGACAACUGCAGCAAAAUGGAUGCAGAGAUAGCUCUUCACUAGAACAUCUAAAGAACCUAAUGGAGCAUGGAGAAAACAGUAACAGCCUAUGUUUCAAAACACAUUUCACAAAACAGAAACUGUCUUAAUGAUAUCUUUAUUCCUCUGUACUUAGAAUGACAUUCCCAUACUAAACUCAUUUUCAGUUUUAACCAGUAAAAUAUGCCUCUUCUACAAUUCCAUUUUGAUAGUUGAAAUUGGAUAAAACGGUAUUUGCUAAAGAGCAUGUUUGGUCACCUGGCCUCAUUCAGUCCACCAUUUAGCACCAGAAAGAAAAUUCAAGAAAAAAGUGAUACUUGUUUGAAAGAGAUCAUUAAAUGUAUUUUGAAAAGCCUAAAGUUAUAUAUUUAACAGUUUUUAUAUGUUGUAUAUUUGUAGAAAAUCCUAUUUAACAAUUAACGUAGUAACUCUACAAUGGGAAAAUGUCAGAGUUCUGUUAUGUUUAUUACUUCAGUUGUCUCUGAAGUCACCAGUGUAGUUUUGCUUUCUUCCAUUGGGACGUUUUGGAUGUAAAGCAUGAGCAGAGAGGACUCUGUAGAAAAAGCAAAGAAUAUUGUUUAUAUAAUAUAAAUGCAUUCAACCAUUGCAAUGUUGACAGGCAUUUUUUUUUGUCUUUGCGUACUGGUGAAAAUAGUCAAAAAACAUAUCUACAUUGCUUUUUCAAAUAACUUUCGAUCCUUCUUAAGGAUGCACAUAUUCUACAGUUUAUGGGGAUGUGUAUGAAGAGUAUAUAUAGUCCUAUUGCUUAUGCAGAAGGUAAUGAUAUUUGUCAUUAUAGACCAUGGCUAUAUGUAUCUUAAUAGAUAUUACCCAUAUUCUGUACAAGAUUUACCUCAUCUUUAGAAAUCUAUUUUUAUUCUUCAGUUUCAUGAAGCAAGCAGUUACAUUUAAAUUGUGUGGAAUCUAGUCAUUCAAUAGGAAGCCCAAAUCUUUUUGUUGUAUUCUCUGAGAAGUUAGUGCAUUACAAAUUAGUGUUCUGUCUUCCUUGCAAAUUUUUAUUUUUUUUAUUUUAGUUAUUUACCUUACUUAUGUUUUAAUUGUCUCAACAAAAGCAUUGAAAACUACCACAUUAAACAUAUUUUACAUUUGUCUAGCUCUAUCAUACUAAACUACAUGCAACAUUAAAUUGCAGGUUAAAAUUAGAACUUUACUAAGGUUAAAAAUGAUCUGGGAGGUAAUGGUAGUAACACACGUUGUGGAUACUGAACGGCUAUGGAUGGAUU
Bufo gargarizans (Asiatic toad) is the source of this 2902-nucleotide RNA transcript. It is a transcript of the gene named TAFA chemokine like family member 5, with no coding region annotated. NCBI's taxonomy places the organism in Eukaryota, Metazoa, Chordata, Amphibia, Anura, Bufonidae. The transcript is spliced from 5 exons. The record is from RefSeq and is a predicted model, not a curated record.